This 1118-nucleotide ribosomal RNA is filed under the name Listeria monocytogenes. RNAcentral's name for it is "partial 23S ribosomal RNA". It matches the Rfam family "Bacterial large subunit ribosomal RNA", at positions 408 to 1526 of the family's 2925-position model. The record is from RNAcentral. Lineage: Bacteria; Bacillati; Bacillota; Bacilli; Caryophanales; Listeriaceae.
CUGAGUACGGCGGAACACGUGAAAUUCCGUCGGAAUCCGGGAGGACCAUCUCCCAAGGCUAAAUACUCCCUAGUGACCGAUAGUGAACCAGUACCGUGAGGGAAAGGUGAAAAGCACCCCGGAAGGGGAGUGAAACAGUUCCUGAAACCGUGUGCCUACAAGUAGUUAGAGCCCGUUAAUGGGUGAUAGCGUGCCUUUUGUAGAAUGAACCGGCGAGUUACGAUUUGUUGCAAGGUUAAGCGGAAAAAGCGGAGCCGUAGCGAAAGCGAGUCUGAAUAGGGCGCAUAAGUAACAGGUCGUAGACCCGAAACCAGGUGAUCUACCCAUGUCCAGGAUGAAGGUAAGGUAAUACUUACUGGAGGUCCGAACCCACGCACGUUGAAAAGUGCGGGGAUGAGGUGUGGGUAGCGGAGAAAUUCCAAUCGAACUUGGAGAUAGCUGGUUCUCUCCGAAAUAGCUUUAGGGCUAGCCUCGAGGUAAAGAGUCAUGGAGGUAGAGCACUGUUUGGACUAGGGGCCCUUCUCGGGUUACCGAAUUCAGAUAAACUCCGAAUGCCAUGUACUUAUACUCGGGAGUCAGACUGCGAGUGAUAAGAUCCGUAGUCGAAAGGGAAACAGCCCAGACCACCAGUUAAGGUCCCCAAAUAUAUGUUAAGUGGAAAAGGAUGUGGGGUUGCUUAGACAACCAGGAUGUUGGCUUAGAAGCAGCCACCAUUGAAAGAGUGCGUAAUAGCUCACUGGUCGAGUGACCCCGCGCCGAAAAUGUACCGGGGCUAAACAUAUUACCGAAACUGUGGAUGAACCUCUUUAGAGGUUCGUGGUAGGAGAGCGUUCUAAGGGCGGUGAAGUCAGACCGGAAGGACUGGUGGAGCGCUUAGAAGUGAGAAUGCCGGUAUGAGUAGCGAAAGAAGGGUGAGAAUCCCUUCCACCGAAUAUCUAAGGUUUCCUGAGGAAGGCUCGUCCGCUCAGGGUUAGUCGGGACCUAAGCCGAGGCCGAUAGGCGUAGGCGAUGGACAACAGGUAGAGAUUCCUGUACCAGUGCUAAUUGUUUAACCGAUGGGGUGACACAGAAGGAUAGGGAAUCGCACGAAUGGAAAUGUGCGUCCAAGCAGUGAGUGU